This 430-nucleotide ribosomal RNA is filed under the name uncultured bacterium. RNAcentral describes it as "bacterial SSU rRNA". It matches the Rfam family "Bacterial small subunit ribosomal RNA", at positions 9 to 441 of the family's 1533-position model. The record is from RNAcentral.
GAGUUUGAUCGUGGCUCAGAUUGAACGCUGGCGGCAGGCCUAACACAUGCAAGUCGGGCGGUAGAGAGGAGCUUGCUUCUCUUGAGAGCGGCGGACGGGUGAGUAAUGCCUAGGAAUCUGCCUGGUAGUGGGGGAUAACGCUCGGAAACGGACGCUAAUACCGCAUACGUCCUACGGGAGAAAGCAGGGGACCUUCGGGCCUUGCGCUAUCAGAUGAGCCUAGGUCGGAUUAGCUAGUUGGUGAGGUAAUGGCUCACCAAGGCGACGAUCCGUAACUGGUCUGAGAGGAUGAUCAGUCACACUGGAACUGAGACACGGUCCAGACUCCUACGGGAGGCAGCAGUGGGGAAGAUUGGACAAUGGGCGAAAGCCUGAUCCAGCCAUGCCGCGUGUGUGAAGAAGGUCUUCGGAUUGUAAAGCACUUUAAGUU